UACGAAGGGGGCUAGCGUUGCUCGGAAUCACUGGGCGUAAAGCGCACGUAGGCGGAUUGCUAAGUCAGGGGUGACAUCCUGGAGCUCAACUCCAGAACUGCCUUUGAUACUGGCGACCUUGAGUCCGGGAGAGGUGAGUGGAACUGCGAGUGUAGAGGUGAAAUUCGUAGAUAUUCGCAAGAACACCAGUGGCGAGGGCGGCUCACUGGCCCGGUACUGACGCUGAGGUGCGAAAGCGUGGGGAGCAAACAGG
This 253-nucleotide ribosomal RNA is filed under the name uncultured bacterium. RNAcentral's name for it is "partial 16S ribosomal RNA". It matches the Rfam family "Bacterial small subunit ribosomal RNA", at positions 524 to 776 of the family's 1533-position model. The record is from RNAcentral.